ACUCAAAGGAAUUGACGGGGGCCCGCACAAGCGGUGGAGCAUGUGGAUUAAUACGUCAUUAACCGUAGAACCUUACCCAGGCUUGACAUCUCCGGAACCCGGGUGAAAGCUCGGGGUGCCCCGCAAGGGGAGCCGGAAGACAGGUGUUGCAUGGCUGUCGUCAGCUCGUGUCGUGAGAUGUUGGGUUAAGUCCCGCAACGAGCGCAACCCUCACCGUAUGUUGCCAGCGUCAAGUCGGGCACUCUUACGGAACUGCCCGGGUAACCGGGAGGAAGGUGGGGACGACGUCAAGUCAGCAUGGCCCGUACGCCUGGGGCUUCACACAUGCUACAAUGGCCGGUACAGAGGGCGCCGAUACCGUGAGGUGGAGGAAAUCCCAAAAAGCCGGUCUCAGUUCGGAUCGCAGGCUGCAACUCGCCUGCGUGAAGUCGGAAUCGCUAGUAAUUGCCGGUCAGCUAAACGGCAGUGAAUACGUUCCCGGGCCUUGUACACACCGCCCGU
Molecule: ribosomal RNA, 501 nt
Filed under: uncultured bacterium
Lineage: Bacteria
Description: partial 16S ribosomal RNA
Rfam family: Bacterial small subunit ribosomal RNA
Source: RNAcentral